RNAcentral lists this long non-coding RNA (912 nucleotides) under Marmota monax (woodchuck). Lineage: Eukaryota; Metazoa; Chordata; Mammalia; Rodentia; Sciuridae. The record is from RNAcentral.
AUAAUAUUGUCAUUCUAGUAAACUUUUUGUUUUCUUUGAAUUUUUCCUCAUAAAAUUCUUACCAAGUUACAUCCUUUAGUGUAAAAAAUGGGAGUAUCUACAUUGUUGUGAAUGGAGGAUUAUUCUGAGGUGUAUAUUAGUGUCUGAAUCUAUUAGCAAAUUGCAAGAGAUUGCUAAUGUUUUGGUCAGGUGGGGAACAUGAACUUGGAGAAGAUGUAUGCUGUGUUUUUUAUAACCCAGAGGUAAUAUGCCUGGGUUUCCACAAGGGGUCCUAGGUGGUAGGGAUUUGGAGAAGCAUUUAUAAAAUUAUCUACUAGUUCUGAUACUAGAAAUUUUUAUUUUAUUGUCUGAAAUGUUUGGCUAAUCAAUUUUCUCCUUUCAAAAAUCAAUGUUUAAAAAACUGGGAAGGAAACUAUUUAGUUUUUACAUCAUUCAUUAGCCCUGGGGCAGCAGAAUUUCAGUCCUCCUAUUCAAUUGUUUGAAUUAACCCAAAGACUAUAGCUUCCCUGGCUAGUGCAGUGUGUGUUAUUCCAUGCAAGAAAAAUAAGCUAUGCUGCCAAAAUGCCAGCAGAUUAAGGAAAAGCCAAGAGAGGCAUUGUUUUCACCCAGCCAAAUAUUGGAGCACCUAUAUGUAUAUUUUACCAAUCCACGUAUGACAGAGACAUAUUAUGUGCUCAUAGCGUCCAUGUGGCCUCUGUUAAUUGCUUCUGAAUUUGAAUUUAACUUAUUUCAAAAUAUGAAUAAACUUGUACUGGCAACACAUUCAAAUUGUGAAAACGUCUUGGUUUCUAACAUGAAUACUUCAGAGGCUAAUUAGGGCUACAGAUGACAGGAGGAGGGAGGGGCAAAGGAAGGAAAGGCUAUUCCCAUUUUUGACUCCAUCCCCUUAAAAGUGAUUAUAUAAUGAGAUGU